Long non-coding RNA from Aegilops tauschii subsp. strangulata, 2187 nucleotides. RefSeq lists it as uncharacterized. Lineage: Eukaryota; Viridiplantae; Streptophyta; Magnoliopsida; Poales; Poaceae. The record is from RefSeq and is a predicted model, not a curated record.
CGCAAAUAUCUCAUGUUUUUGUUUUGAGCUGUUUUCUGCCAGAGUUUUCAAGGCCAGGCAUCAUGUCGUCCCCCUCCUCCAACAACGCGGACGACGAUGCUUGGUUGAUGCUGAUGGAACUCCGGAGGGAGGAUGCCGAGGGAGCCAUGAUGGAGGAGGAUGAAGGGGAUUCGCUUGAGGAACAACCUCCGGCAACGGAGAGGGGUACUCUGGCGGGCAUCUCCGCUAUUCCAUGUCCCCAUCAAGCCAUAGGAACCACAAACAACCAUGAAGACCAAGAGGUUCGAGAAGGGCUUCCCUCUAGGAGGCCCUUACACAGGUUACAUCGGAACAACUUUCAUAAUUUGGUUCAUGAUAACCCACAAGUAUAGGGGAUCGCAACAGUUUUCGAGGGUAGAGUAUUCAACCCAAAUUUAUAGAUUCGACACAAGGGGAGCCAAAGAAUAUUUAUAGGUAUUAGCAGCUGAAUUGUCAAGUCAACCACACCUGGAGAUUAAUUAUCUGCAGCAAAGUGAUCAGUAACAAAAAAGUAUGAUAGUUUUGAUAAUAGUAGCAGCAGUAACGGUGGUAACGGUAACAGUGAUAGCAGUAAUUUUGUAGCAAGUGUAACAGUGAUGAUAGCAGUAGUAACUUAGCAAAAACAAUAUAAGAUAAAUUCGUAGGCAUUGGAUCAGUGACUUGUUGGAUGAUAUUCAUCAUGAGACAGUUAUAACCUAGGGCGAUAUGGCACUAGCUCCAGUUCGUCAAUAUAACUAGCGGGGCGACCCGCGCAUUCGCGCGGCUAGAUUUCUAUUUAAUUUUAAAUUGCUAUUCCCUUCGUUCGGAAUUACUUGUCUCGAAAAUGGACGUAUCUAGAACUAAAAUACGUCUAGAUACAUCCAUUUCCGCGACAAGUAAUUCCGAACGAAGGGAUAUUAGUUAUGACUAAGCUAAAAUAAAUUUGUAUUUCUAGUGUAUAUUUGAUAUGUAUUUCCUUUUUAUUUAUUUGCAAUUAGAUUGCUCUCAUAUUUUAUAUUCAGGUUCUUUUAUGGUCAUGUAAUACACUGAUUUUUUUUUGCUUUUUGAAGGAAAUGUAAUACAUAGCUUUUUUUUUAAAGGAAAUGUAAUACAUAGCUUAAACCCAUAUUGGACCUUUGUUUUUACUGCAAAUUCUACUUGCUUUAUCAUCCUGGGCGUGCUUUUUUUUAAACCGCUGGAUUUAUUUCUCAGCCCAACUUGGCCCAAAUAGUUGUGCUUGUCCCCAAGACCCCAAUUGACAGCCCAACUCCACGUCACUGUGACUCUGUCGGUCACCACUGAAGAACUUCGGCCUGGUCGCUGUCCACCGCAAGCUGGAUAUAUGCUCGCUCUCCUCUGCUCGUCCCAGGCAGCGGCGGCAGCGCAUGGACAGUGGCAGGGUCGGGCGCAGCACCGCCAACCGUACUGUAACCGGAGGCAAGUGGAGCGCGGCAGGAUCAGUCCGGUCAUCCCGACCCGAAUGUAUUUGGCGGAAGAGGAGGCACAGGUUUGGCCACGACGAAGAUGACAUUGGUACAUGGGAGCAUUCUUCAAUUCAGUUCGAACAAAGAAGAAAAUUAAUCUUACACUUGGAGAUAACACAGACGAUGGAGCAUGGCCUAUGUGAACCUAUAGUCAAGCAGUGGCGGAGCCCAUGGCUAGGUUUGUGAUGGAGGAGAGUGUUGAGGCCGGUGACAUCUUCGGCUCCUCGCCAAACGGAUGCUGGAGCAGAGGUGGCCGGGAUAGAGGCGAUCGUGAUGGAGGUGGCACCAUAUGAUUGGGAUGGGAUGGCAAGGUUGCCGCUGUUGUACUCUUAGGGGAUGCCGGCGUGACCUGGAGCCAUUGAAGGAGAUAGCGGGCAUGUGGCCGGCGAGAGGUAGAGAGCACGCCCUGAUCGAGACAUGAGGCCACCAUGGGAGCGGCCGACGCGGUGCCGUGCGUCUUGCGGGCAGGUUAGGGAGUUAUCUUAGAUGAGGUUAGGGAAUUAGGAAGGCGUACGGGAGAAUAAGUACGUCUAGUUUAUCCUGAUAGAAUCUGACUCGUAUGGUUGGUUUUUUUACACAAACUGUAACAUAUACUACCUCCGUUUCAAAAUAGAUGACCCAACUUUAUAUUACUAAUUUUGUACUAUAGUUAGUACAAAGUUGAGUCAUCUAUUUUAUAUGGUUAAAUAACGUGUCGGCUGCAACA